GAUAAACGCUGGCGGCGUGCAUAACACAUGCAAGUCGAACGAUGAAACUUAGCUGAUUUCUUCGGAAUGAAAAUAAGUGGAUUAGUGGCGAACGGGUGAGUAACACGUGAGUAACCUGCCUUACACAAGGGGAUAGCCUUUGGAAACGAAGAAUAAUACCCUAUAACGUCAAAAUAUCGCAUGAUAAAGUGACCAAAGAUUUAUCGGUGUAAGAUGGACUUGCGUCUGAUUAGCUAGUUGGUGAGAUAAAAGCCCACCAAGGCGACGAUCAGUAGCCGGCUUGAAAGAGUGUACGGCCACAUUGGGACUGAGACACGGCCCAAACUCCUACGGGAGGCAGCAGUGGGGAAUUUUGCACAAUGGGGGAAACCCUGAUGCAGCGACGCCGCGUGAUUUAGAAGGCCUUCGGGUUGUAAAAAUCUUUUUUAUGGGAUGAAAAUGACAGUACCAUAAGAAUAAGGUCCGGCUAAAUACGUGCCAGCAGCCGCGGUAAUACGUAUGGACCGAGCGUUGUCCGGAAUCAUUGGGCGUAAAGGGUACGUAGGCGGCCUAGUAAGUUAGAAGUGAAAUAAUAUAGCUCAACUAUAUAAAGCUUUUAAAACUGUUAGGCUUGAGAGAUGAAAGGGAAAGUGGAAUUCCUAGUGUAGCGGUGAAAUGCGCAGAUAUUAGGAAGAAUACCGGUGGCGAAGGCGACUUUCUGGUCAUCAUCUGACGCUGAGGUACGAAAGCGUGGGUAGCAAACAGG
RNAcentral lists this ribosomal RNA (745 nucleotides) under uncultured Anaerococcus sp. RNAcentral describes it as "bacterial SSU rRNA". It matches the Rfam family "Bacterial small subunit ribosomal RNA", at positions 28 to 776 of the family's 1533-position model. The record is from RNAcentral. Lineage: Bacteria; Bacillati; Bacillota; Tissierellia; Tissierellales; Peptoniphilaceae.